GACGAACGCUGGCGGCGUGCCUAAUACAUGCAAGUUGAGCGCUGAAGGUUGGUACUUGUGCCAACUGGAUGAGCAGCGAACGGGUGAGUAACGCGUGGGGAAUCUGCCUUUGAGCGGGGGACAACAUUUGGAAACGAAUGCUAAUACCGCAUAAAAACUUUAAACACAAGUUUUAAGUUUGAAAGAUGCAAUUGCAUCACUCAAAGAUGAUCCCGCGUUGUAUUAGCUAGUUGGUGAGGUAAAGGCUCACCAAGGCGAUGAUACAUAGCCGACCUGAGAGGGUGAUCGGCCACAUUGGGACUGAGACACGGCCCAAACUCCUACGGGAGGCAGCAGUAGGGAAUCUUCGGCAAUGGACGAAAGUCUGACCGAGCAACGCCGCGGGAGUGAAGAAGGGUUUCGGAUCGUAAAACUCUGUUGGUAGAGAAGAACGUUGGUGAGAGUGGAAAGCUCAUCAAGUGACGGUAACUACCCAGAAAGGGACGGCUAACUACGUG
Molecule: ribosomal RNA, 497 nt
Filed under: uncultured bacterium
Lineage: Bacteria
Description: partial 16S ribosomal RNA
Rfam family: Bacterial small subunit ribosomal RNA
Source: RNAcentral